Molecule: transfer RNA, 76 nt
Filed under: Chloroflexota bacterium
Lineage: Bacteria; Bacillati; Chloroflexota
Description: Chloroflexi bacterium (anaerobic digester metagenome) tRNA-Ile
Rfam family: tRNA
About the family: Transfer RNA (tRNA) molecules are approximately 80 nucleotides in length. Their secondary structure includes four short double-helical elements and three loops (D, anti-codon, and T loops).
Source: RNAcentral
GGGCCCAUAGCUCAGCGGUUAGAGCGACCGGCUCAUAACCGGUUGGUCCCUGGUUCGAAUCCAGGUGGGCCCACCA